Long non-coding RNA from Actinia tenebrosa (Australian red waratah sea anemone), 183 nucleotides. RefSeq lists it as uncharacterized. NCBI's taxonomy places the organism in Eukaryota, Metazoa, Cnidaria, Anthozoa, Actiniaria, Actiniidae. The record is from RefSeq and is a predicted model, not a curated record.
UUUGAACUCGUGCGAGUCGAGUUUGCAGGACUCAAUAUUGUUGUUUAUUAUCAGUAUUUCUUUAUAUCCAUACGGAUGGAUUCGUACAGUCUGAAAACCGACUACUAUUUCGUCUACAACUAAAAGAUUACUUCUACUGCUGUAACAGGAUAAACCCUUGAGUGAAUAAAUAGUUGAGUUUAA